GCAGCAAGCUUUCGUCACCUUCAGAGCUCUAGCAUAAUGAUCAAGGAGCACUAGUGUCAGCCUUGCUGUAUGCACCAAGCUCCACCCUGGGCAGUGCCUUUCCCUAAUGUCUGUCCUGGUGUGAAAUGGAGACUUGAAGACCGGUACCCACAUGUAAGAGAGGUUAACGAAGGGAGGGUGGCAGAGAGAGGAGUCAUGUGAAGGAAAGCUACCUUUAGUCCUCCAUCGCAAUACUGUCCAGUGUCUCCAGUGUGCUAGAAACUGUGCUGAAUGCUGGGCACAUGGCAGGGGUCAAAGCAGACAGAAAUCCCUGCCUCAUGAACCCACUUUCUAUUAGGGGAGACAGACUAGAAACACAAAAAGGACAUUGAAUAGUACGAUUGAGAGAUGAGUGCUAUGGAGAAAAAUCCAGCCAGAAAGGGAGAUGCAGAAGAUAGCACCAGAUCUUCUCAAUGUUGUUUUCAUCAUGGACAGGUGCGUUCCUUAGAAGAUGAAGUGUUAGUGAUUCCUGAGUUUUUCUCACCUUCACGUCGAUUGAUCUGAAUUUGGAGAGUCUGUUUUCUGUGUCUGGCUCUGCACUCAACUUUGCAGGGAACCCUGUCGAGGUCCCCACACUGUGGCUUCAGGUAGACAGAGCAGACGGGAGCCCAUUUUAGUUCAUUGUCUUGCUGACCAAUGGGGAACUGUGGUCAGGUGAGAGGAGGCAGCUUUUACAAUCAGACUUCAUUGAAUAGUGUGGGCUGCUGUUUCCUUGUAACAAAACCCCAUAAUGAUGGCAGUUUCCGGAUGUGUCUUUUUAGGACUUCAGAACUUAUUAUUUGAAUAGAAGUUUAAAGCAUCUGGAUGAUGAUGCUGUAGCUAAAACAGCUGCUUGUCAGAAGAGACCCUAUUUAACACUUCUAAACUUGUUUCAGAGGUGGAGGAAAGGAUAAUCUGGGAAGGCCUCCCUCUCAAGUCCACAGGUUGGUAUCAGCUGUGUUCAUCCCCCAAAAGGAAAAUAAAAUGACAACAAUAUUUUGGUCACAGAAUUCCUGAGAAACCUCUGUUUCUACCUUUAUGUCUUUAAGAUAGGGACAUGAAUUCCCCAUGAUCUGGGUGAUAGGGUUAGGGUGGCCAGGACACUGUUACUUUGUGUGUGACACAGGUGGCUCCUCAUGACAGUUCCUCCAUGCCUUAGAACAUGUCUGGUCAUCCCUGGGGGUAGGGCUGAGUGACCCAGCAGUGGGAGAUUUAACAACUGGAGAAGAUGGGAUGUGUUUAAUCAUCCCCAGAGGUAGGGCCAAUUUGUCACCCUUUAAAUAGACUUAUUUGCAUAUAAACUAAAGCACCUUAGGGCAUCAUUACCGAAAGUGUCUAAGCAAAUGUCUGAUACAGUUACGUGCCUGCAUUAAAAGAAAGCAGCCCCCUUAUCUUGCCUUAAUAUCCUUACAGUGUUUUAAUAAGUUCAUAAUGCAUCCUGUAUGUGCAUUUUUUGGCAUAAAACACCGAAAGGUGGAGAAUUGACUUCAGUUCUCUCCAUCCUUUCCCCUUAAGUGUUCGUGGCGCUGCAGGGGCAAUGUGCCUCCCAUUGGAAGUGGUGACUUCCUCUUUGAUAGAGGUUUGCCUGUCUCUUGAAAAUGAAAAGAAGCGGAGAUUGAUCUCUGGAGUCCCAUGGUCCAGUUUGGACUAUUGGGAAUAUUUUUUAUGGGAUGUUAAAAACAAUAUUAGAGACGUGAGAUAGUAAAUUUGUGGUAAUACCGGAUCCAGGAAGCUUACAGUGAAGAGUAUGAACUUAACCUGAAAAGUAUUUCUCUGUUCUAUAAAUCUCUCAGUGACAUUUGGAUUAAUCAAGCAUAAUUAAAUGUAGUUAGAUUUUUGUCAGAUUGUAGUUCAAAAUAAUAUUCAUCUAUGGAGAGGGUAAUAUAUUAUGUAGAAAUUUUAUUAAGCACUUUAGUUAAGCAAACACUAAGGAGAACAAAAUCAACCUCAGGAAGGUUAAUUACUAAAAAAAUCACAAAGUAUAGUAGAUUAUGUAAAUCAUUUUAAUUUUGAAUACCGUGGCUUGAGCUUUAAUUUACAUAGAGAUGUAUUUUGGAUUUGUUUUUCACAUUAUAUUUUCUAGUACAGGAUUGCAAUUGCAUUCUUGAAAAGUUCUACUCAUUUUAGGAUUCCAUUAAGUUUGCUUAACUUUUUUCAUGUUAUAAUUUCCAAAAGCAAAGAAUUACAAUUGUAUUCUAGCUAAUUAUUUUAAUGUUUCACUAACUUUGUGUAUAUUGUAAGACCAUAUUUUUAUUUCUAUACAAAUGAUGAUUUUAAGAGAAGUAUCAGGAGAGAGAAUGUAUAUGAAAGCAUCGCGUCCACGCCUGGCUUUGCAAUAAGUGUUCAUUUAAAAGAAAGACAUUUACAAAGGUAAAACAUAAGAGUUUAGACUAUAGCGAUAAAUCUUUUUAUUUUAGUAAUUUCUUUAAAGGGAAAAGUAAAGAGAUCAAAAUGAUUUUAUAUGUAUUUUUUUUGUACUCAGAGAAUUACAUUUUCACUACCCCCGCCUGUCUCAGGGAAUAGCCUUUGAUAAGAAUCCCAUGGAAAUCUCUGGAACUCUAUUACAGUGUGUUCAGAUUUGUUAGUUCAUAUGUAAAUUUCAGAGCUAGAGCUUCAAAACUAGAGUAUUGUAAUCUCAGGAACAUAAGAUUAUCCAAGAAGCCUGAACCUUGCUCUUUUCAUGAUAAAUGACAUCCAAAUUUCCUUUGUCUAGGAGAUAAGCAUAGAUCCCUUUUAUCAUGCUUCUCUGAGAUUUUCACAGAAAAACCCUGCAAUUUGAUUUUGUUUGAUAAUUUUGCUUUUUGGCUUUUCAGUGAGGACUCUAUUUUCCAUUGGAACUGACUCCUUUGGGGAUAAUAAGCUUUCACUUAAAAGAACAUUCCAUUAGAUAGUUCUAACUUCAAUGAACCUAAAAGUGGCUUCUUAAUUUGAAUAAUCUGGAUAACUUUUGCAAAUGGGUCAAAACAGCACAAGUAUCAACAAUCACGUAUGUACUGAGUAAUAUUUGCCCUCCAGUUAGCAAAGUCAAGAAAUGUCUAACUCUGGCACACAGCACUGGUUUUAACUACUCUUUAGUUCAUCUUUGCCUUCCAAAUUGGUUGAAAAUGGCAAGCUUAGAAUGGAAUGCAUAUUAAUAACAGAACCACUUAAUGUUUUAAAAUAUUCAUACCUUGAGAUUCUUUUUGAGAGAAAAAAGAAAUCUUAACAUCCAAUUCUAGUUGUUUUGGCUUUUCACAUAUGCUAGACAUGAAAAAGGCAGUUACAAAAGUGAAAUCCGAUUGGAAGUCAGUGGUGUCCGCCAUUGAGCCGUGCUAAAUGUUGUGUCACAAAAGGAGUUUGUGAAAACAGGAUGAGUAGAAAAUGUUAUACUGUUGUUUCUAUCGUGGCACCGCUUUCUUAUAAAUUCCAUUUGCUUUUUGUCAUCUGAACUGUUACAACCAUGGGAAACCUCAGUCCAUAUUUUUAAAAGCACUAUAUACUUACAGGAAAAACCGACUUAUGCCUUCAUUGAAAAAAUGUUGAAGUUAAUAUCCCAAAUGUUUAAUGAGCAUGUUUUAGAAUAUUUACAGCUAAAGUCUGUCACUUUAGGGAUUUGACAAAACUUGAGACUGCCUGCCACUGAAGAGGGACCAGGCAGAAUCUUCUCAGCCUUGUAACCAGCGUUAAAAAAAUAUAAGGGGCUUGAUGAGAUCCUAGAUCUGCUCCUUUUCUCCUAGGUGCCUGGGUAACUCCUGGGGAAAGCAUCAUAUUAAGUCCUUUGGUAUCAUGCUUUUCAAGCAAGGUGUGUGAUUUUGACCAAUGAAUUGAGCUGAUAUGUGAUUUUGACCAAUGAAUUAUGCAUCUAUUUAAAAAUUACCAAGUGUAUCUUGACUCUUGAGUGGACAGUCAAGGCAAAGUUUACUUAGGAAAUGUAAAGUAUGGAGUGUUUUAAAAAAUUCAAAUUGAGUUUAUUCACUGUUGGAGGAAUUGAAUUCUAUUGCCUCCCUCAUUUCCAUUAUGUUCAUUGUUACAAUUGUGCUGCUCUGUUCUCAUUGUGAUGCUUAGUUCUCGUGUAGAACUGAGUGCUACACUCUGAUUAGAAACUGGAGUUGUGCUUGAGUCAGUCCUGGAAAACAGGACCCAUUUUUAAGAAGAACAGAACAUACCACUUUGGCAUUCUGGCUGACCCUAAUUUCUGCAGAGUUCCUUGGUGUUAAAAUCAUUUGAGGUCAUAAUUGCUGCUUAUGGUUUAUAUACACACCAUCUGCUGCUCUAAGUUCACAUCCUCUCAAAAGUAUGCAAGUGCUUGAAAUUUAAAUAUUUCCCAGAUCUAAAACAACUUGUGACUACCUAAGAAAUGCUUGAACCAAAUAAGAAACAGCACUGUGGAAUAAAAUAUACCAUUGUGAACAUAUCUGAUGCUGCAAUGAAAUGUAAAGUUCCUUACUUUGCUGAUUUUUCAUCAUAACUCCUUGACUCAUAAAAGCGGUGUCUAAACUGGGAACAGCUGCUAAUAGGGUAAAAGUGUUAUACAUGAAAUAAAAGUUCAUUACAAUAUUUGUACUCAUAAGUCAAAAUCUGACCUGGUUCGCUUUGUGCCUCUGUCAGCCUACUUACAGUGAUAAAUGUACACAGAAGUCCAGUGUUCCCAAGGAGCUUUGUUUAUAGAAAGAAGCUUGGUCCCCUCAGUUCUACUGUUGUGUGGCCUGGUUGGUACAUGCCGUCAUGAUGAAGGAUGACUUUGGUUUGAGAUAAUUUGUCACUCCACAUUCCAUGGAGAAAAGUGUUUCAUUUUGAUGUUGGAAAAACAUGACCAGAGAAGCGUGUGACUCAGAUAAUGUUCCCCGGAAGUUGCAGAGCAAUCUGUGGUGUCUGUCAUAGCCCAACUAGUCCUGGAGCACAUGGACAAUUCUGUACCCCAAUAAUCAGAACAAUAAAAUGAUAGUUGUGAUUCA
Molecule: small RNA, 4952 nt
Filed under: Pan troglodytes (chimpanzee)
Lineage: Eukaryota; Metazoa; Chordata; Mammalia; Primates; Hominidae
Description: sense overlapping
Source: RNAcentral